CUUUCCAAUUGUUUUUGCUUGCAUAAAUGAUUUUUUUUUUCGGAGCGAGUGGCGAACUGGUGAGUAACACGUGGGUAACCUGCCCCGAAGCGGGGGAUAACAUUUGGAAACAAGUGCUAAUACCGCAUAAUUAGUUGGAACCGCAUGGUUCCAACUUGAAAGAUGGCUCUGCUAUCACUUUGGGAUGGACCCGCGCCGUAUUAGUUAGUUGGUGAGAUAAAAGCCCACCAAGACGAUGAUACGUAGCCGACCUGAGAGGGUAAUCGGCCACAUUGGGACUGAGACACGGCCCAGACUCCUACGGGAGGCAGCAGUAGGGAAUCUUCCACAAUGGACGAAAGUCUGAUGGAGCAACGCCGCGUGAGUGAUGAAGGUUUUCGGAUCGUAAAACUCUGUUGUUAAAGAAGAACAAGUGUUAGAGUAACUGUUAACACUUUGACGGUAUUUAACCAGAAAGCCACGGCUAACUACGUGCCAGCAGCCGCGGUAAUACGUAGGUGGCAAGCGUUGUCCGGAUUUAUUGGGCGUAAAGCGAGCGCAGGCGGUUUUGUAAGUCUGCUGUGAAAGCCCUCAGCUCAACUGAGGAAGUGCAGUGGAAACUACAAAACUUGAGUACAGAAGAGGAAAGUGGAACUCCAUGUGUAGCGGUGAAAUGCGUAGAUAUAUGGAAGAACACCAGUGGCGAAGGCGGCUUUCUGGUCUGUUACUGACGCUGAGGCUCGAAAGCAUGGGUAGCGAACAGGAUUAGAUACCCUGGUAGUCCAUGCCGUAAACGAUGAAUACUAGGUGUUGGAGGGUUUCCGCCCUUCAGUGCCGCAGCUAACGCAUUAAGUAUUCCGCCUGGGGAGUACGACCGCAAGGUUGAAACUCAAAGGAAUUGACGGGGGCCCGCACAAGUGGUGGAGCAUGUGGUUUAAUUCGAUGCUACGCGAAGAACCUUACCAGCUCUUGACAUCUUCUGCCAACCCAAGAGAUUGGGCGUUCCCUUCGGGGACAGAAUGACAGGUGGUGCAUGGGUUGUCGUCAGCUCGUGUCGUGAGAUGUUGGGUUAAGUCCGCACGAGCGCAACCCUUAUUUAUUAUUUGCCACCAUUUAGUUUGGGCACUUUAAGGGAAACUGGCCCGGGGAAUAAACCCGAGA
RNAcentral lists this ribosomal RNA (1140 nucleotides) under Apilactobacillus kunkeei. RNAcentral describes it as "bacterial SSU rRNA". It matches the Rfam family "Bacterial small subunit ribosomal RNA", at positions 66 to 1170 of the family's 1533-position model. Lineage: Bacteria; Bacillati; Bacillota; Bacilli; Lactobacillales; Lactobacillaceae. The record is from RNAcentral.